AUGUUGGAUCAGCUUAGUGGAGCAAUAGUGUUCACAAAGCUAGAUUUAAGAAGCGGGUAUCAUCAAAUUUGCAUCAGACCUAGGGAUGAAUGGAGAGCAGCCUUCAAGACAAAGGAAUGGUUGUUUCAAUGGCUAGUCAUGCCAAUUGGACUCUCAAAUGGACCAAGUACCUCUAUGCACUUGAUGAACCAAGUCCUUCGGCCCGUCUUAUCCCACUUUGUUGUGGUUUAUUUUGAUGACAUCUUGAUCUAUAGCAAGGAUGAGGAUGAACACUUUGAUCACAUUCGGAAAGUGCUAGGAGUACUAAAGGAAAAUGAGCUCUACGUCAACUUGAGGAAAUAUGUUUUCCUGCAAACACAACUUCUUUUCCAAGGAUUUGUCAUAACAUGCAACGGUAUUCGUGUUGAUGAUUCUAAGGUUGAAGCAAUCCGAGAAUGGCCAACUCCGGAUACCAUUUCUGAUGUAAGAAGUUUUCAUGGCCUUGCAACUUUCUAUUGGCGAUUUGUGAAGAAUGUCAUGGCACCAAUUACCGAGUGCUUGAAAAAAGGGAAGUUCCAGUGGACAGAAACGGCUAAAGCUAGUUUCAAUGAGAUCAAGCAAAAACUAUCACAAGACUUUUGA
Molecule: ribosomal RNA, 621 nt
Filed under: Triticum aestivum (bread wheat)
Lineage: Eukaryota; Viridiplantae; Streptophyta; Magnoliopsida; Poales; Poaceae
Description: partial small subunit ribosomal RNA
Source: RNAcentral